This 443-nucleotide ribosomal RNA is filed under the name uncultured Leptolinea sp. RNAcentral describes it as "bacterial SSU rRNA". It matches the Rfam family "Bacterial small subunit ribosomal RNA", at positions 923 to 1382 of the family's 1533-position model. Lineage: Bacteria; Bacillati; Chloroflexota; Anaerolineae; Anaerolineales; Anaerolineaceae. The record is from RNAcentral.
GCACAAGCAGCGGAGCGUGUGGUUUAAUUCGAUGCUACACGAAGAACCUUACAGGGUUUGACAUGUAAGUGGUAGGAAACUGAAAAGGGACCGACCCUUCGGGGAGCUUACACAGGUGCUGCAUGGCUGUCGUCAGCUCGUGUCGUGAGAUGUUCGGUUAAGUCCGCUAACGAGCGCAACCCUCGCUGCGUGUUACAAGUGUCACGCGGAACUGCCGGUCUUAAGCCGGAGGAAGGUGGGAUGACGUCAAGUCAGCAUGGCCUUUAUAUCCUGGGCUACACACACGCUACAAUGGCCAACACAAUAGGUUGCUAAGCCGCGAGGCGGAGCCAAUCCUCAAAGUUGGUCUCAGUUCAGAUUGUAGGCUGCAACUCGCCUGCAUGAAGACGGAGUUGCUAGUAAACGCGUAUCAGCAGGUCGCGGUGAAUACGUUCCCGGGUCUU